RNAcentral lists this ribosomal RNA (459 nucleotides) under uncultured bacterium. RNAcentral's name for it is "partial 16S ribosomal RNA". It matches the Rfam family "Bacterial small subunit ribosomal RNA", at positions 338 to 795 of the family's 1533-position model. The record is from RNAcentral.
CCUACGGGGGGCAGCAGUGAGGAAUAUUGGUCAAUGGGCGCGAGCCUGAACCAGCCAAGUCGCGUGAGGGAAGACGGUCCUAUGGAUUGUAAACCUCUUUUGUCGGGGAGCAAAAGUCGCCACGCGUGGCGUUCCGAGAGUACCCGAAGAAAAAGCAUCGGCUAACUCCGUGCCAGCAGCCGCGGUAAUACGGAGGAUGCGAGCGUUAUCCGGUUUUAUUGGGUUUAAAGGGUGCGCAGGGGGAAGAUCAAUUCAGCGGUAAAAUUGAGAGGCUCAACCUCAUAGAGCCGUUGAUACUGGUUGUCUUGAGUGAGCGAGAAGUAUGCGGAAUGCGUGGUGUAGCGGUGAAAUGCAUAGAUAUCACGCAGAACUCCGAUUGCGAAGGCAGCAUACUGGCGCUCAACUGACGCUGAUGCACGAAAGUGUGGGUAUCGAACAGGAUUAGAUACCCGAGUAGUC